This 464-nucleotide ribosomal RNA is filed under the name Vreelandella stevensii. RNAcentral's name for it is "partial 16S ribosomal RNA". It matches the Rfam family "Bacterial small subunit ribosomal RNA", at positions 339 to 795 of the family's 1533-position model. The record is from RNAcentral. Lineage: Bacteria; Pseudomonadati; Pseudomonadota; Gammaproteobacteria; Oceanospirillales; Halomonadaceae.
CCUCGGGAGGCUGCAGUGGGGAAUAUUGGACAAUGGGCGAAAGCCUGAUCCAGCCAUGCCGCGUGUGUGAAGAAGGCCUUCGGGUUGUAAAGCACUUUCAGUGGGGAAGAAAGCCUUGGGGCUAAUACCCUCGAGGAAGGACAUCACCCACAGAAGAAGCACCGGCUAACUCCGUGCCAGCAGCCGCGGUAAUACGGAGGGUGCGAGCGUUAAUCGGAAUUACUGGGCGUAAAGCGCGCGUAGGCGGUCUGAUAAGCCGGUUGUGAAAGCCCCGGGCUCAACCUGGGAACGGCAUCCGGAACUGUCAGGCUAGAGUGCAGGAGAGGAAGGUAGAAUUCCCGGUGUAGCGGUGAAAUGCGUAGAGAUCGGGAGGAAUACCAGUGGCGAAGGCGGCCUUCUGGACUGACACUGACGCUGAGGUGCGAAAGCGUGGGUAGCAAACAGGACUAGAUACCCGAGUAGUC